GAACACGCCGCUAAUUGUCCGUUCAUCGAAGUUAAGCAACGUCGAGCCUGGUCAGUACUUAGAUGGGUGAUCGCUUGGGAAUACCAGGUUCUGUAA
Non-coding RNA from Acanthosepion pharaonis, 96 nucleotides. The record is from the annotation of a GenBank genome assembly. NCBI's taxonomy places the organism in Eukaryota, Metazoa, Mollusca, Cephalopoda, Sepiida, Sepiidae.